RNAcentral lists this ribosomal RNA (467 nucleotides) under uncultured bacterium. Its description in RNAcentral is "partial 16S ribosomal RNA". It matches the Rfam family "Bacterial small subunit ribosomal RNA", at positions 28 to 507 of the family's 1533-position model. The record is from RNAcentral.
GAUGAACGCUGGCGGCGUGCUUAACACAUGCAAGUCGAACGGAAAGGCCCAAGCUUGCUUGGGUCCUCGAGUGGCGAACGGGUGAGUAACACGUGGGUGAUCUGCCCUGCACUUCGGGAUAAGCCUGGGAAACUGGGUCUAAUACCGGAUAGGACCACUACUUGGAUGUUGUGGUGGAAAGUUUUUUCGGUGUGGGAUGAGCGCGCGGCCUAUCAGCUUGUUGGGGGGGUAAUGGCCUACCAAGGCGUCGACGGGUAGCCGGCCUGAGAGGGUGUACGGCGGCAGUGGGGCUGAGAGAAGGCACAGGCGCGUACGGGAGGCAGCAGUGGGGAAUAUUGCACAAGGGGCGCAAGCCUGAUGCAGCGGGGCCGCGUGGGGGAUGACGGCCUUCGGGUUGUAAACUCCUUUCGCUAGGGAAGAAGCGUUUUGUGACGGUACCUGGAGAAGAAGCACCGGCUAACUACGUG